RNAcentral lists this ribosomal RNA (397 nucleotides) under uncultured bacterium. Its description in RNAcentral is "partial 16S ribosomal RNA". It matches the Rfam family "Bacterial small subunit ribosomal RNA", at positions 338 to 732 of the family's 1533-position model. The record is from RNAcentral.
CCUACGGGUGGCUGCAGUGAGGAAUAUUGGUCAAUGGCCGAGAGGCUGAACCAGCCAAGUCGCGUGAGGGAUGAAUGCCCUAUGGAUUGUAAACUUCUUUUGUCUGGGAGUAAAGUGUCCCACGUGUGGGUUUUUGUGUGUACCUUAUGAAUAAGGAUCGGCUAACUCCGUGCCAGCAGCCGCGGUAAUACGGAGGAUCCGAGCGUUAUCCGGAUUUAUUGGGUUUAAAGGGAGCGUAGGUGGUUUUUUCAGGCAGUUGUUAAAGUUUGAGGGUCAACCGGAAAAUGGCCGUUGAAACUGUUAGUCUUGAGUACAGUAGAGGUAGGCGGAAUGCGUGGUGUAGCGGUGAAAUGCAUAGAUAUCACGAAGAACUCCGAUUGCGAAGGCAGCACACUGG